This 758-nucleotide long non-coding RNA is filed under the name Prunus dulcis (almond). RNAcentral describes it as "sRNA ncRNA". The record is from RNAcentral. Lineage: Eukaryota; Viridiplantae; Streptophyta; Magnoliopsida; Rosales; Rosaceae.
AUUCCCUUCUCCUAGCCCGAGCCCAGAGCUGAAAGGCUCGCCUUUGGCCAUUCGCAACUCAGAAUGUAAAUCACAAAAGACGCUCUCAUUUUAUUUCACUCAGUUUCAACCCAUCCAUCUCCACCCUCUCCCCUUGUCAUCUCCAGCAAGAACUCAAGAGCCUUGGCUAUCUUUCAGAGCAUAGUCGUGUGGGUUCAUCUAUGUGAGGGUGCCAAAUCCAGAAAACCCUCAACAAAAUCAAAAUCACCAUCAGCUGCGGCUUCGUCGAAGAGACAAUCGGAUGCUCACUGAGAUCCGUCCCAACUCAGACCCAACGACUCAGAUGAGCUGACCCAGACGGAGUUCAACCCAACACCACAUAGUCUCGCAGUUCCUGAGCUUGGUUAACGGUAAGCUUCGCUUUGUGCGCAUAACUGGGUCUCAGUGUGGGUAUUUUUGUGUUGAAAGUAAUUAAGAACAAAAGUGAUUAAAAAUAAAAUAAAAUAAAAUCAAAUAAAUCAGAAAAAGAUCUACCAAAAAUCCUAUCAAGAAAUUGGCGCCGUUGCCGGGGACUAUUUUAGACAAUUUUUGUUUAACCUUUUUCUGAUUUAUUUGAUUUUAUUUUAUUUUAUUUUUAAUUUUCGUCCAAAAUAAAAAAAAAAAAUUUUUUUUUUUUUUUAAUUGAAAUUGACCAAUUUUGUUUCUGUUGCAGAUUCUGCAGACUGCAUGGUCCAGACCAGAUCAGGAACUGCACAGAUUGUACAAUUUGAUCCAGAACC